AUGCACGCUGGCGGCGUGCCUAAUCCCUGCCAGUCGAGCGAACAGACGAGGAGCUUGCUCCUCUGACGUUAGCGGCGGACGGGUGAGUAACACGUGGAUAACCUACCUAUAAGACUGGGAUAACUUCGGGAAACCGAAGCUAAUACCGGAUAAUAUAUUGAACCGCAUGGUUCAAUAGUGAAAGACGGUUUUGCUGUCACUUAUAGAUGGAUCCGCGCCGCAUUAGCUAGUUGGUAAGGUAACGGCUUACCAAGGCAACGAUGCGUAGCCGACCUGAGAGGGUGAUCGGCCACACUGGAACUGAGACACGGUCCAGACUCCUACGGGAGGCAGCAGUAGGGAAUCUUCCGCAAUGGGCGAAAGCCUGACGGAGCAACGCCGCGUGAGUGAUGAAGGUCUUCGGAUCGUAAAACUCUGUUAUUAGGGAAGAACAAAUGUGUAAGUAACUAUGCACGUCUUGACGGUACCUAAUCAGAAAGCCACGGCUAACUACGUG
RNAcentral lists this ribosomal RNA (496 nucleotides) under uncultured bacterium. RNAcentral's name for it is "partial 16S ribosomal RNA". It matches the Rfam family "Bacterial small subunit ribosomal RNA", at positions 29 to 507 of the family's 1533-position model. The record is from RNAcentral.